UGGUUCUGGCAUCGAUGAAGAACGCAGCGAAAUGCGAUAAGUAAUGUGAAUUGCAGAAUUCAGUGAAUCAUCGAAUCUUUGAACGCACAUUGCACCCUUUGGUAUUCCAGAGGGUAUGCCUGUUCGAGCGUCAUUUCAACCCUCAAGCUCAGCUUGGUAUUGGGUGUCACCUAGUUAUGGUGCACCUCAAAAUCAGUGGUGGUGCCAUCUGGCUUCAAGCGUAGUAAAAUUCUCGCUAUGGAGGUUUGGAUUUGUGCUUGCCAAUCAAUAUCUAAUUUAUCAAAAGGUUGACCUCGGAUCAGGUAGGGAUACCCGCUGA
This 319-nucleotide unclassified non-coding RNA is filed under the name uncultured fungus. RNAcentral's name for it is "partial contains 5.8S ribosomal RNA and internal transcribed spacer 2". The stretch from base 1 to 133 matches the Rfam family "5.8S ribosomal RNA", at positions 22 to 154 of the family's 154-position model. The record is from RNAcentral. Lineage: Eukaryota; Fungi.